CAGUAGCCACGGGAAUACGAAGGGUGCAAGCGUUACUCGGAAUUACUGGGCGUAAAGCGUGCGUAGGUGGUGGUUUAAGUCCGUUGUGAAAGCCCUGGGCUCAACCUGGGAAUUGCAGUGGAUACUGGGUCACUAGAGUGUGGUAGAGGAUAGUGGAAUUUCCGGUGUAGCAGUGAAAUGCGUAGAGAUCGGAAGGAACAUCUGUGGCGAAGGCGACUAUCUGGGCCAACACUGACACUGAGGCACGAAAGCGUGGGGAGCAAACAGGAUUAGAGACCCCGGUAGUCCCUGUCUCUUAUAA
This 301-nucleotide ribosomal RNA is filed under the name uncultured bacterium. Its description in RNAcentral is "partial 16S ribosomal RNA". It matches the Rfam family "Bacterial small subunit ribosomal RNA", at positions 509 to 809 of the family's 1533-position model. The record is from RNAcentral.